RNAcentral lists this long non-coding RNA (213 nucleotides) under Mytilus galloprovincialis (Mediterranean mussel). Lineage: Eukaryota; Metazoa; Mollusca; Bivalvia; Mytilida; Mytilidae. The record is from RNAcentral.
AAAAAAAAUGUGUUUAUACUAUAACUUACAUUUACUGCUUUAUGGCUAUCCAAGUUUCUCAAAUGUUUAGUCUUGCUUAAAGUAUUAUUACUUGAAACGUCGUACAAGUCAGAUAAAAAACAAAAGUAACAAAAGAAACAGGCCGGUUACAACCAGCCGAAUAGUUUUUCUACACUUGUAGUCAGGUCAAGGUCCUCGGCUAUCGCCUCGGAC